Molecule: transfer RNA, 71 nt
Filed under: Agriotes sp. GTI-28
Lineage: Eukaryota; Metazoa; Arthropoda; Insecta; Coleoptera; Elateridae
Description: tRNA-Trp
Source: RNAcentral
AAGGAUUUAAGUUAAAUUAAACUAGUAACCUUCAAAGUUGCCAACAAGGACCGCACCCACUUUAAGCCUUA